GGCUCAACCGUCAAACUGCCCCUGAAACUGUCAGGCUUGAGUUCGAGAGAGGUAGGUGGAAUUCCAGGUGUAGCGGUGAAAUGCGUAAAUAUCUGGAGGAACACCGGUGGCGAAGGCGGCCUACUGGCUCGAUACUGACGCUCAGGCACGAAAGCAUGGGGAGCGAACGGGAUUAGAUACCCCGGUAGUCCAUGCCGUAAACGAUGGGUACUAGGUGUUGGAGGAUUCUACCCCUUCAGUGCCGCAGCUAACGCAUUAAGUACCCCACCUGGGGAGUACGAUCGCAAGGUUGAAACUCAAAGGAAUUGACGGGGGCCCGCACAAGCGGUGGAGCAUGUGGUUUAAUUCGAUGCAACGCGAAGAACCUUACCUGGGCUUGACAUGCAGGGGACAGGUGUAGAAAUACACCCUUCUUCGGACUCCUGUAC
This 428-nucleotide ribosomal RNA is filed under the name uncultured bacterium. RNAcentral describes it as "bacterial SSU rRNA". It matches the Rfam family "Bacterial small subunit ribosomal RNA", at positions 606 to 1035 of the family's 1533-position model. The record is from RNAcentral.